GAUGAACGCUAGCGGCAGGCCUAAUACAUGCAAGUCGAACGGGUGGUCGCAAGACCACUAGUGGCGCACGGGUGCGUAACGCGUAACCAACCUGCCCCGAUCUGGGGGAUAGCCCGCCGAAAGGCGGAUUAAUACCGCAUAUACCCGCAGCCUGGCAUCAGGCAACGGGGAAAGAUUUAUUGGAUCGGGAUGGGGUUGCGUGACAUUAGCUAGUUGGCGGGGUAAGGGUCCACCAAGGCGACGAUGUCUAGGGGACCUGAGAGGGUGAUCCCCCACACUGGCACUGAGAUACGGGCCAGACUCCUACGGGAGGCAGCAGUAGGGAAUAUUGGGCAAUGGGCGAGAGCCUGACCCAGCCAUGCCGCGUGCCGGAUGAAGGCCUUCUGGGUUGUAAACGGCUUCUCUCAGGGAAGAAAAAGACCUUGCGAGGUACACUGACGGUACCUGAGGAAUAAGCACCGGCUAACUCCGUG
This 473-nucleotide ribosomal RNA is filed under the name uncultured bacterium. Its description in RNAcentral is "partial 16S ribosomal RNA". It matches the Rfam family "Bacterial small subunit ribosomal RNA", at positions 28 to 507 of the family's 1533-position model. The record is from RNAcentral.